RNAcentral lists this ribosomal RNA (178 nucleotides) under uncultured Bacillus sp. RNAcentral describes it as "partial 16S ribosomal RNA". It matches the Rfam family "Bacterial small subunit ribosomal RNA", at positions 355 to 524 of the family's 1533-position model. The record is from RNAcentral. Lineage: Bacteria; Bacillati; Bacillota; Bacilli; Caryophanales; Bacillaceae.
UAGGGAAUCUUCCGCAAUGGACGAAAGUCUGACGGAGCAACGCCGCGUGAGCGAUGAAGGCCUUCGGGUCGUAAAGCUCUGUUGUUAGGGAAGAACAAGUGCUAGUUGAAUAAGCUGGCACCUUGACGGUACCUAACCAGAAAGCCACGGCUAACUACGUGCCAACAGCCGCGGUAAU